UCGAAACAAACAACCAGGAUCUGCAAACAAGGGCUGAGGAGCUUUCCAAACUAUUUCAAAUUAAUUGGACGGAUGACGUGUCUUCCAAUGCCUUAAGAACACUUCAUGAGGCUAAGCAGAACAGUCAGAAAGAACUGUUGCCAUUGGCAAAUGAUGUCAAAGUAAUGUCUGAAUACUUACGACAUAAAGCAGAAACACAUGCAAAUACCUUACAAGAAUCAGCAAGUAAUUGCGAGAAAAGGCAAGCAUGGCAUAAGUUGUCUGAAAGCUGCUUGUGUUUAAUCGAAACGAUCAGGCGAUGUGUCAAAAAUGACAGUCGAAGAAUAUUAAAAAAACAAAUCGACAAAUGACGAUGGAGAAUUAGAUGGAUGUUUAACAAAACUGGAAAAAAACCUGUGCCGUUAUUUUUACCGUACAGAGAUUAUUGCAAAACGAGGUCGAAAUAGCUGCAGUACUGUUUCCAAGACAGGUGAAAGAAAAUAUCGACCUGCUCAUACGCAGCAGAAAUUCUCUAACAAACUGUUUAAAUAGUAAAUAUCUUUUCCCAACAAAAUCUGCAUCAUCGCCUAUUCGUGGGACAGAUGUAUUACGUUCAAUUGCAAUUGACUGUGGAGCUGAACAUCCGAAAAGGCUUCGUUCUACAAAGUUAAGGAAACAUAUUGCCACAAUGACUCAGCUUUUUAACUUGUCUGAAAAUGAAAUAGACAUUCUAGCUAAAUUUCUUGGUCACGACAUUCGGGUACAUAGAGAAUUCUACAGAUUACCAGAUGGAACCAUGCAGGUUGCCAAAGUCAGCAAGCUGCUUAUGAUGAUGGAAAGUGGACAAAUUACCAGAAAUUCUGUCAAUUUGCUAGACGAUAUUGAUGUGGACGACGAAUGUAUUGUAGAAAAUGAAAAUACUGAAGACCUUGAAACUCUGCUUCCCAGCACCAGUCAACCAAAAAUAACAGACAAAGAAAAGGGUACUUCAAAUACCAGAAGAACAAAACAAGCAGCCAAAAAGCAACGGAGUGAAGACGAAAACAGGAGCUGUUCACAGACACUUAGAUCGUUUUUUGAUAAUUGGUAAAUUACCAGGGAAAAAAUCAUUACUUGCAUGUAUUGAAAGUGAGAAUGACCUUCACAACAGAAGUUGGAAAAAUGUCAAAGACUUUUGCAUAAAUUUAAUUGAAACAAAAAAGCGACGGGGACUUUUAACUUAAAAAAAUAUAACUCAUAUAAUGCACAUUUAGGAGAAUACGUUAAAGGAUGAAGUUGCCACAUGUGUUUUGUGUGUUUUCUUGUUCUAUAUACUCUUUUCGAAAACGAUAUAUGUGUGCUUAUUGUAUUUGAAUGUUUUAUUAAUACGGUUCAGUCAAACACGAUAUUUGUUCAUAAUCAUAUCGCCGAACCAAUUAGGAUUGGUAUAUAGUUCGGCCAAAGAGUGUUUCUUUGUACUUUCAAUUACGAGUUUCUACGAGUUACUCACUAUACAAGUUAUUUUUUACCCCAAACUUGGUGAAUAUGAAUGAAUAUAGCAAACAUGAUAGCAAAUCAAUCUAGAAGGCUAAACGUUCAGAGAAGGCACAAAAAAAUUCAGUCGGAUAAAUGGAAACAAACAUUUUGUUCAAGCAUAACAAACAAACACUUUUAGAUAUAAUAAGAUAAAUGUAAAUAACAUAAAAAAACUACUGCUAAACUACUACUACAAUGUGAAGAAUACAAAUGAAUAUUUUGUCAAUUUUACAAAAUUUGUUUUGAAUGACAGGUGUCUGACUUGCAGUUGAGUACUUAAUAGUUAUUUUAAAGUAAAAUUUUACCAAUAUGUAAAUUAUUGCGUAAAUAUCGCACUAGAAUUGAUUAAAUAGUUGUUAAAUAUUACAAUAAUUUCCUACACAGACUUUUGUGCAUUUGUUUUGCGUGUAGAUAUUCACAUUAACUAUCAAUUCACAUAUUUGCUUUGUGUAUAUAAUUGGUAUGUUCAGUAUUGAGUCACACUGUUAUAAUUUCCCUGUUGGUACAUAUUAUUUUUAAGUUGGCACCAACAAGGGUCUAACAAUUGAUUCAAAUGUGCACUCCCCAGUAAGUAUAUAAACUAUAAUGUAAAUGAUGCAAAAUAAUAUUAAACUACGUGUUUGAUAAGUGUUUGCUUUGGUACAUAUUUAAUUAUUAGUGUUUUUAUAAAAUGAUAAUGCUGUCAAAGUCAGCGGUGAUUAUACGUGUAUAACAACAUUAAUUAUAACUUUUAUAUUGUUUUCAACAAAUAAUAUAUGGUUGACACAUCGGCAUAAAUUUUCAGUGCUUAAAAUACACUCUUUCUAUCAUAUUUUAUGCAAAAAUUAGGUACACAAGUUGGUUUACAUAAAGGUAGUUUGAACAAAAUACGUGAAUUCAAAUCUUAAAAAAGGUGUUUGGUUUGCAAUGGAAAACUAAGCGAUUCCAGUGACUAUUUUCCUUAAAAUAUAAUCUGUUAUUUCGACAGGUAGAAUUUAAUGUAAGUUCAUUAUUAACGUUAACCCGUUUUUGGCAUUCUCUACUCAAACAAGUACAUACAUACUGUAUAUUUUUAAUACAGCACAUGCGUAAUGGUAUCACAGUUGUAGAAUUGGAAUUCAUAUAUUAUAACAAUAAAUACUGAUCAUUAUUCAGAUUGACCUACCGCCGUAGACUAAGUCACUGGCGCAUCAAAAUGCAUUGUUAGCAAGUCGCUUUGCUAGUUUACUAAACUAUUUUGUUUCUCAGGCCUCGCCACAUUCGUUGUGAAACGUUCAUGAUUGUUUAAAGCUACAGAUUUUAUUAUUUUUGAAAAUGCAAUAAAUGUAUUUAAGACAAUUUAAGUGAAGUGGAAGUUGCCAUGCGUGUGAAUGAAUUUUCUGAUGUUUACCUGUUUCAGGGGAUUAAAUGCAUGAGUUAUUUUAUAAUGUCAGAGUAAGGACAAAGUAAAUUUACACUUCUCAAUCUACAUGCUUAUGGGCAGUUCUACUUUUAGGAUAAAAAACUUCAUAGUACGUGAACAUCGUGAAUAUUUUUUUCUGAUGGAAAAAAGGAAUUAAACAAAUAAGCCGCCUCCCCCUCUCCUUCAUUCGGUUUGACAAAUAGCGUGGCCUAAAACAAAAAACAUUAUUUUUUAGUUUUAAGAACGAAUUGUAUUCAUUUGUUGAUUAAUUCACCAUGAUUGUUAUGGUAUAAUGCAGCACUUGCAUGUUUGUAGUCGGCUUAUAGCUAAUAAAGUCAUAAAUGUAUUGUUUGAUUUGCGUUAUGUCUCGUAUGCUUAUUUUGAUGUGAAUAAUAUUUGAGUCAAUCAAAUGAGGCAUUUUUGCAGAACUUAUAUAAGGUCAUAUAAUAAACAUAUUUAAUUUAAAUAUUGUUUCAUACAUAUUCUUUUCAAUUUUUGUACUAACUUAAAUAUUAUCCAUGAACGUGCACGCCAUUGUCCUAUCAACAACGGUACCAUGAUUACACACAAUUACCCCUGUUGGUAAACGCAAGUUCCCCGUUGGACAUUAUUGAAGUUCCACAGGGAUAGCGCGCUUAAGUUC
Molecule: long non-coding RNA, 3518 nt
Organism: Dreissena polymorpha
Lineage: Eukaryota; Metazoa; Mollusca; Bivalvia; Myida; Dreissenidae
Exons: 3
Source: RefSeq, a predicted model, not a curated record